Molecule: ribosomal RNA, 253 nt
Filed under: uncultured bacterium
Lineage: Bacteria
Description: partial 16S ribosomal RNA
Rfam family: Bacterial small subunit ribosomal RNA
Source: RNAcentral
UACGUAGGGUGCAAGCGUUGUCCGGAAUUAUUGGGCGUAAAGAGCUCGUAGGCGGUUUGUCGCGUCUGCUGUGAAAACCCGAGGCUCAACCUCGGGCCUGCAGUGGGUACGGGCAGACUAGAGUGCGGUAGGGGAGAUUGGAAUUCCUGGUGUAGCGGUGGAAUGCGCAGAUAUCAGGAGGAACACCAAUGGCGAAGGCAGAUCUCUGGGCCGUAACUGAUGCUGAGGAGCGAAAGCGUGGGGAGCGAACAGG